GUUUUUCGCUCAUAGAUGAGUCCGCGUGAGAUUAGCUAGUUGGUGAGGUAACGGCUCACCAAGGCGACGAUCUCUAACUGGUCUGAGAGGAUGAUCAGUCACACUGGAACUGAGACACGGUCCAGACUCCUACGGGAGGCAGCAGUAGGGAAUAUUGCACAAUGGAGGAAACUCUGAUGCAGCGACGCCGCGUGAGUGAUGAAGGCCUUCGGGUCGUAAAGCUCUGUCGCAGGGGAAUAACACAAUG
Molecule: ribosomal RNA, 247 nt
Filed under: uncultured Bdellovibrio sp.
Lineage: Bacteria; Pseudomonadati; Bdellovibrionota; Bdellovibrionia; Bdellovibrionales; Pseudobdellovibrionaceae
Description: partial 16S ribosomal RNA
Rfam family: Bacterial small subunit ribosomal RNA
Source: RNAcentral